GGUGGAUGAAGAAAUUAAAAAUAAUUUUGGAAAAAUUGAUUGAAAAUUUGGGUUCGGUGGGUAUUUUUGAAAGAAAAUUCAGAAACCGGAUGUCAAAAUGCAAUUAAAGAAAAAUAAGCCACGAAGGACCGUCCAGUCAGCAGCCCCAACGAACCGGAGCGUGCUGCGUGGCAAGGCACACUGACUCGGUGCCACGCAGGAGGUCAUGCUGGCAAUCUGCGUGCCCUCGAUUGGACGGGUUGGAUGCAUUCUCGUGCGCGUGAACGGUCCAAAUCCGUUCCUUCCUCAGGCACGAUCGGACAGUCGCGAUUAAAUGCGAUGAACGGCCCAAAUUCGUUCCCUCUUUAAAUGCGAUCGUACAGUUAAAA
Molecule: long non-coding RNA, 368 nt
Filed under: Carica papaya (papaya)
Lineage: Eukaryota; Viridiplantae; Streptophyta; Magnoliopsida; Brassicales; Caricaceae
Description: long non-coding RNA (CPAP_LNC001644)
Source: RNAcentral